Molecule: non-coding RNA, 134 nt
Organism: Pelobates cultripes (western spadefoot toad)
Lineage: Eukaryota; Metazoa; Chordata; Amphibia; Anura; Pelobatidae
Source: the annotation of a GenBank genome assembly
UAAAGUGUGUGUGUAUAUAUGUGUGUGUGUGUGUAUAUAUGUGUGUGUGUGUAUAUAUAUAUAUAUAUAUAUAUAUAUAUAUAUAUACACACAUAUAUACACACACACACACACACAUAUGCACACACACUUUA